UCUCAAAGUCCUGGGCUCAAGCAACCCUCAUGCCUUGGCCUCUCAAAGUGCUAGGAUUACAGGCAUGAGCUAUCAUGUCCAGCCUAGCUACCCCUUUUCUAUACUUUCCUAGCAUCAUGUGUGGGUCUUUCUCAUACUAUCUACAGCACACUGUGAUUGUGUAUUUACCCAUAUUUCUCCCAAAUGACUAUAAACACCUCAAGGGAAAGGAUUAUAGCUUAUUCAUAUUUGAAUCCUUAGUAUUUAUGACAAUGCUUGGCUCAUAAUAAGCUCUCAAGAGAUAUUCAUUCCAUUGAAUUGAAAUGACUUCCACUUGGGUUUCACAGUAGAAUACUCAUUACUCAUCAGACUUACUCAGGGGACAAGUCUCUGGCCUCAUUUUCAUUUGCAUCUUGGCCAUGAUUUUGCCUACUGUCAAUCACCAUGAAGUACAGAAAAGCAAACUGAGCUAUGGUGAGCCAAAUUAACUGGACCUAAGAUGACCUCAUCAGCAAAGCGCCCUAAGCAAUCAAGCAAUCGGGUCAGCUAGUUGCAGCCUAUAGUUAUCGUGGAAAACUGGUUGCUACUUUGAUCUCAGCUCACCUUGCCAAAUACUCCUUUUGUUUGAAAGAUAGUCAUAACAAGUACAAAACAACACUGAGUGAAUAUUUUUAAUAUUAUAAGCACCUAGAUAAAUUUAAUUUCUAUUUCCAUUAAUGAUCUGAAUAACCUAAAUUCUUCUAAUACCUAUAUUUGUCCAAUUUUAAGGUAUUCUGACUUAGGCAGAAAUUGGGCAAUUAUCUGAUUAAUUCAGGCCAAUAUUUUUAACACUGGAUUUCUGCAUCACAAGAAUUGUUAAUUUAUUCUUAUAUCCUCAUUCCUGGUACACAAUGGGUGCUCAGAAGUAGCUAGGAUUUACUGAGAGCUUACUAUAUGCUAAACUGUACAACAAUGUGUUAUCUUACAUUAAGUCUCACAAAAAUUAAAACUCUCAAAAAACUUCGCACUAAUUGUUUGAGAUAGAUGAGAUUACAAUCUGAGUCUUAAGAAGGUUAAGUAACCCACCCAAGGUCGAAUUAAGAACUUGAGCUAUCUUUUUAAUCACUACUCUAUAUAGACAUUUGUUGAAUAAAUGGUCAGAUGCAUUUUGAUCAAGCCUAUGCUUAUUUGAAAUAUCACAUGCUUUUUUGAACUUUAUAGAUAUAUAUUAACCAUUUGGAAAAAUGUAAGAACAAAAUCUCAUGGAAAAUGUAAAUUUCAAUCUUGCAAACUAAACAUUCGAUUUAUACACUUUCAGGAUUUACUCUGUUGUGUGAAUAUGCGUACUUUAGAAUAAAACUGGUAUCAUACUAUACAAUGAAUAUCAAGUUUUAAUUCAAUAAUGUUUAAUGAAUAAUUCCCUAUGUCAUUAAUAAUCCUCUUAUGAGUAUUAUUUUAAAAGAUACAUUAUUUUACUUCAAGAAAAUUUUAUGAUUUGUAUAAUAGAACUAUAGCUUUUGGACAUUUUGGCUACUUAUAACUUUUAGUGCUUUGAUAAUAUCAUUACAAACAUCAUUACACAUAUAUUUUAUAAUUUUUAAGAAACAAAUAUGUUCUUAAAUUUGUUUUUUAAGGAAAAUUAUUAUUGGUUGAAUGAUUACAUCAAAGGGAAAUGGAUUAUUUUCAUAUGUAAUUUCAUGCUACCUCCAACAAAGGUUUUAUCCUGAUUAUAUUGUAGACCUGAAUUCAUUUAAAUUUAUGCUGAUUUUUUUAACUUUAGAGACAUAUUGCUCAUAUUCAAGUACAUUUUAAUUCAUGUUAUAAGUAUAUGACAACAUAAACAUGUUUUGACAUCCUCUACUGAAUAUAUUCUUUUUACACCACUAAGCAUUUUUAAAAUUUAGUUUUUUAUAAAAAGGACAGAUAGGCAGGCAGGCAGAGAGAGACAGAGACAGAGAUGACAAGCAUAAACAAGGAAUUGUAGCUGUGGUCUAACAGAUUACACAUUUUUAAGCACCUAAAUUUAGAAAAUUAGGUGGUAUACUUUAUUAUUGAUCAUUUGGGGUCAAACUAGCUAAUCUGGCAACUUAAUUUUCCUAGGGAUUUAUUUGAUGUAAAAAUAUGGUCUGAUCGUUCUUCAGUGGUUCUUUCCUUUUAGGAGUCUUGCUCAUGAGAACCUGUCUUAAAACUUUUACUGCUUGAAAUAUGUAGAAAGUCCAAGGGUAAAGGAGAGUGGAAUUUGUUGUUGUUUACUAUGAAGAAUUAUCAUUGAGUCAGUUCACCUUUGGCUGGCAUCUGGGGAAAGUUUGCCUGCACGACAUGAUUAACAGCUAAAAUAUUCUUACGGCCUUUAUCUCAGCAGUCUAGAAGGUUCGAAUGAAAAGAACAUUAUCCAUAGAGGAAGUAGGAGGUAAACAUUCCUAACAAAAAUGGACACUCAAUAAAUACAUGUUAAAUAAAAGAAUAAACAAAUACGUUCAAGUCGAUUCUAGUUGUGCAGUGGUAACCCUUGUCGUAUUGGAACAGUAAUGCACAUGGACCAUGAGUCCUUGUAUUCUUCUUGAGCCAGCUUGGUGAACUUGGUCAAACCACUGACACUCAAUUGCUUCACUGGUAAAACAAAGCCAAUAGCAUCCGCUAUACUUAUCCAUUAGAUUUUUUAUCCAUUAGAUUUUUUAAUAUAUAUGAAUACAAUUUAUGAAAGUACUGUAUACUAUGUACUUAGUAUAUACUUAAUUAGUAUGAAAAUAAAGUAAAAAUACCAUAGAAAAUUAGAGGUUUAUGAAUUGCUAAUACAUGAGAUAUUUACUAGGGUGUAUAUUUACUAUGUCUUCUAAAAGUAUAAGUUUGGUAAGCAGAAAUCUCUUAGGGUUUAGCAUUUCUUUAACUGAUAGCAAAAAUUUUGAAUGUUAACUAUUUAAGUGUAUCUACAGUGACUUUCCUUUUCUUCAUGAUAUUGCCUUGUUUAUCCCUUUGAUUUAUCCUCAUGUCCCACUGAAGCAAGCUAUGCACCUUAAUGCCAUCUUGUUUAUGGGGACUAAUAAAAGAAAAUUGUCUGCAAUGGGAGAUCUGCUUUAUUUACAUGCAAAUUAAAACUAUAUUCCUUCGGUUACAGGCCAAAGAUUAUUAAUGCAUGAUGUGUAACAAUUUCAGGCAAAGGUAAAAAUGCUGUUCCUUCCUAUAAUCUAAUGCAACUGAUUUCAUUUUUGUAAAAUGGUGCAACAAAUUGAGCCAUGGCAUUUAUAGUAUCUUACGUGUUUUAUGCUGCUUUUUAAAAUUUAUAUAAGAAAUGGAAAAGAAAACACUAAAUUGCUAGACUAGUAAAGCAAUUGACUGGCUUGAAAUUUCAGGAGGCAAGGAAUAUCUGUUUUACCAUUCCAUAUUAUGACUGGAAAAAUAUAAUUCUUCUGCCCACUUUAUUGUUUCUAGAAAAAGAGUUAGUAAUAUUUAUCUUGAAAGAACAUUCUAAGAACUAAUACAAUAACUUGCCAAAUGGAUUAAAGUUUUGGAGAAGAACGGGGAUCCUGGUCAUUUUCUGGAGUCAGAUACAGUCAGUUUCCUUCUUUUGAAACUCACACAGGCAAUCAUCAGAUAUUAAGAAAGGGAUCAAGAAAUCGAGGAGGCAAAAGAACAGAAGAAGUAAAUACCUAUAGCUUGCCCAGAAGCCUAGGAAGAGAGAGAAUGCCGAAAGACUUCUAAUGUAUGGAGUUUAAACAUCAGAUGGUGAUUGAUUGCUAUUAAUUUAUGUCAGCAAAGGAGGAGAAGAAAUACGUAAAACUGCCUCUGAAGAAUUUACAUUAAACACCAAAAGAAUCUGACUCUGAAAAUGAAGAAACAAGGAAUAUUGUUUGUUUUGGGAAUCAAAAAAAAAAAAAACUUCCCAUUUGAGUACACAAUUUCCUAAACAAGAUACAUGAUAAUUCCAUACACUAUGCUUUCCGAAGAAACUUUGUAAAACGUAUUUUCAUUAUUCAAAACUUGAAAACACAGAAACAAUAUGAUGCAAAAAAUUAUCUUUAGCAUUAUUCCACUAAGAUAAUUCAUUUUAACAUCCAUAUAUUCAUUAUUAUGUAAAAUACCUAUCAGUAUGUGGGUAUAUCUUUGUGUGUAUAUUUUAACAAAACAAAAUUCAAUAAAAAUUGAAAUACAGAAAUGACAAAAACACACAAAAAAUAUAAAUUAUUUCCAUUGUAGCAUAUAUUACCUUUUUCACCUAACAUUAUACUGUAGGAAUAUAUUCUUUCAUCAUUCAAUGCUUUUGAAAAUAUAAUAAUAUUCCAUUUUAAGGACAUGCUAUAAUUUAGUUCAUUAGUUUUUAAACUUUUAGAUUAUCUCAUUUUGUCAUCAUUUAAAAAAAGUGUUCCUGGAUGUCCUUUUGCAUAGACUUUUGAAUGUAUUUCUGACUAUUUUCUUAACCUGUCCUGUACUUCUGCAAGUAGAACUGCUUGAGCAGAGAUUAGGAGCAAUUUUAAGGUUUUUCAAAAAUCUUGACAAACUAUUCUGCAGGAAAAAUGUAUCUUGUUACCAUCAGCAUUUUUAAGUAACUAGUGACUAAUUGUAAAAAUAAUUGUGUUUCCUUGUAUUUAAGCCUUGCGCUAUAGAUUUUAAAAAUUUGUCCUUUUUUUUUUUUCAUUUGUAAAAAAAAGCCAUCUAAAAGACCUUAGAACCUGGUAUCAGCUGAAGCUUACUAAACCAUAUCAAGAAGAUCAUGUCAUUCUCAAGAAAAGCAUGUUUCAAAUAAAAAGGAAAUGUCAGCCCUGAGCGUUUUUAUUAACCAUCUCCCCAUCUGACUUCAGAGACAGCUUUAGCUGACCACUUCCUCUCUCGGGUUUAUUUGUAUUAGAAAUAAGUGGAUUCAUUAACUGUGCCACUUGGUGGUCAGGCCAGGCCUGCCAGUGUCCAAUAACAGGUAAUGGUUGUAUUUUUCACGGGGUGACUGAUGUUUACUUUGUUGAUGGCCCCAGGAGCUCAUGUAAUCUGAGAUAGGUCUUUGUUUACUUCUUGUUUUACUGAUAUGCUGACCCAUUUGAAACUAGCGAGAAAGAAAAAUAAACAUUCUGGAAUAUGGUACCUGAAGUCACUCUUCCUUAGUGGCUUUAUUGUAACCUCUUCAAAGGCUUUUGUUAACCCACUCUUUUCCCAGCAAAAAACCCUGAUCUGGUCUCUUUUCCAAUUAAACCAAAAGCAAUAUCACACCAAAUAAGCAAACAGAAAAUAUUGAAAUUACCACUUAAAGAGAGUUUUAUCUGGGGUUUAAUUGUGUGUGUACUCAAGCGUUUAGUGUAGGUCAUUUGCUAAUGACAUCUAGUAAUUUUUAAAAACUGGAUAAAACUGAUACUGAGCCUGUCUACAGCAAUUUAACUAUUUUGGGGGAGUAUAAAGUUAGAUUUGUCUAUACUGACUUGUUUGCUCCAUUUUAAAAACUGUGUUGGAAUGAUUUAUUAUGGAUGAUCCAAAAUAAACGUGAAGUGAGGAAACUA
Molecule: long non-coding RNA, 5438 nt
Filed under: Homo sapiens (human)
Lineage: Eukaryota; Metazoa; Chordata; Mammalia; Primates; Hominidae
Description: HSALNT0332392
Source: RNAcentral